GGAUCGAUGAUGACUCCCUCAAUCUGCAUUCCUUGGAAAAGCUGAACAAAAUGAGUGAGCACUCCCUACCAUCAUUCUCAUCGAAACUGAGGUCC
Vulpes vulpes (red fox) is the source of this 95-nucleotide small nucleolar RNA. Its record names the gene SNORD116. It matches the Rfam family "Small nucleolar RNA SNORD116". Rfam says of the family: HBII-85 is a member of the C/D class of snoRNAs, which contain the C (UGAUGA) and D (CUGA) box motifs. The record is from Ensembl. NCBI's taxonomy places the organism in Eukaryota, Metazoa, Chordata, Mammalia, Carnivora, Canidae.